AUGACUUCGAUGCCCCACCGGGUGUUGGCUGACAGUGCCACACCCGAACUUUUGACACCACGCUCGUACUCUGGACGGUACAACAAUUACUUCAAGGAGAAACGGAGGAUGAAGGCGGCCCCAUUCAACUUCUCGGUGGCUUCCAAGGAUGACAACAUGUUAUCCUUUGCCUCCAUUAGGGAGCCUGGUUCUCCUUUGGUUUUGCACUGGGUAUGA
Molecule: ribosomal RNA, 216 nt
Filed under: Triticum aestivum (bread wheat)
Lineage: Eukaryota; Viridiplantae; Streptophyta; Magnoliopsida; Poales; Poaceae
Description: partial small subunit ribosomal RNA
Source: RNAcentral